CCUACGGGUGGCAGCAGUGAGGAAUAUUGGUCAAUGGACGCAAGUCUGAACCAGCCAUGCCGCGUGCAGGAAGACGGCUCUAUGUGUUGUAAACUGCUUUUGUACGAGGGUAAACGCAGAUACGCGUCUCUGUCUGAAAGUAUCGUACGAAUAAGGAUCGGCUAACUCCGUGCCAGCAGCCGCGGUAAUACGGAGGAUUCAAGCGUUAUCCGGAUUUAUUGGGUUUAAAGGGUGCGUAGGCGGUCGGAUAAGUUAGAGGUGAAAUCCCGGGGCUCAACUUCGGAAUGGCCUCUGAUACUGGUCGGCUAGAGAGUAGGUGAGGUAGGCGGAAUGUAUGGUGUAGCGGUGAAAUGCUUAGAGAUCAUACAGAACCCCGAUUGCGAAGGCAGCUUACCAAG
RNAcentral lists this ribosomal RNA (398 nucleotides) under uncultured bacterium. RNAcentral's name for it is "partial 16S ribosomal RNA". It matches the Rfam family "Bacterial small subunit ribosomal RNA", at positions 338 to 733 of the family's 1533-position model. The record is from RNAcentral.